Molecule: long non-coding RNA, 748 nt
Organism: Gigantopelta aegis
Lineage: Eukaryota; Metazoa; Mollusca; Gastropoda; Neomphalida; Peltospiridae
Exons: 3
Source: RefSeq, a predicted model, not a curated record
AGUAAGCGACGCCCCAGCCCUGGAAGUAAGUGCCGCCAACCCAGCCCUGGAAGUAAGCGACGCCCCAGCCCUGGAAGUAACAACGCCCCAGCCCUGGAAGUAAGCGACGCCCCAGCCCUGGAAGUAAACAACGCCCCAGCCCUGGAAGUAAACAACGCCCCAGCCCUGGAAGUAAACGACGCCCCAGCCCUGGAAGUAAGCGACGCCCCAGCCCUGGAAGUAAACAACGCCCCAGCCCUGGAAGUAAACAAUGCCCCAGCCCUGGAAGUAAGCGACACCCAGCCCUGGAUUUCGACGACGCCCCAGCCCUGGAUCUAGAGGAUGACCUGGAUGUAUCAACAAGAAAAUUGACAAAAGGCGCCUGGAUCACGGUCACUUAUGGAAAUGAAAAACGUCAAACGGAAUAUGUUGGAAAGGUCUUGGAUAUUGACAGUGAUGCAGACGAUAUCCAUGUACGAUUCAUGCGAUGUCAAGGAAACUACUUCACCUGGCCAAAUGUUGACGAUGUAGCUUGGGUCAAUCUCAGUCAAGUGAAUAAAGUCCUUGGCCAUCCCAUAAUCUCAAUUCGAGACCAGUACAUUUUUGAAUAGACUUGAUUUGAAAAUAACAAUAUAAAUGUUUGGUUAACAGAAAUAUGUUCAUUGUUUUAUAUUUGUUGUUUUUAUUUCACCAUGUAACAUACAGUGUAUCUAGAAUAUCGAUUGUUUCCAUGUUGCAACUGUUAUUAUACAUAUAUCAAACAUCAUUA